AGGACUAGAAUGAGGCAGCAGCCAAGGCCAAAUCCUGUGGCCUAGAAGAGGGACAGUCCAAUGGAAUUUUGCCUCAUUAUGAAGACAGUUGGAUCCAGUGACAAUAUUAGCUAAUGUCUACUAAGCCCUUAAUGAAGCUGGUGGUCUAGAUGGUCUAAGGUGCCUUAACUAAUUUAGUCUCCAACAACAACCUUAUGAGAUAGACACUACCACCCUUUGACAGUUAAGGAAAUGGAGGCACAGAGGUUUUAAAAGACCUGCCCUUCUAGCAAGCAGCGGAGCUGUGACAUAUACUCUAAGCCACAACACCUCUCAGAAGUCAGUGUACCAGGCUGAAGCAGCUUAGCUGGAGGGUGGGGACCCAGGGAUCAGCAAACGCUCCUGCCCUGGGGAUUCUCAUGUGAGCUUUUUCCCAGACUUAAGUGCUCAAUUUGCAUAAACGGUAGCAGAGAAUGUAAAAAGCAACCACUUGUCCAAAACUGUGCAGCCACCCAGGAGGGCUGUGACCUGCCUCUCUGGACUCACACCCUCACAUCCUGUCUCCCCUGCGUCCCUGGCCUGCCUGUCCAACUACUAAGCCUCGGGGUCCAAAUAUUUUCUUGACUUCCUGCCCUUCUCCCUUCCUUCUGACUGUCAAAAUCUGUCAAGACUCAGCCCAAAUCUCACCUCUUCCAGAAAUCCCUCACAGACAUCCCUGAUUGGAACAAUCUGUCCCCAGUCCAUCCACUGAGACGUGAGGCUCUUUCAACUGAGGCCUGGGGUCACUUCUCAGUGGGUCUGUCUCCUGGGGGCAUAAAACCACAAGGCUUGCUAAGUAAGGGGCUGACACCCAUCCAUGGUUAAGCAGGUCCUUAGGGGGUUAUGAGGACAUCUCUCUUCACUGACUUGAAAAAUCUUAGGCGGCCGAGCGUGGUGGCUCACACCUGUAAUCCCAGCAUUUUGGGAGGCUGAGGUGGGUGGAUCACUUCAGGUCAGGAGUUCAAGACCAGCCUGGCCAACAUGGUGAAACCCCAUCUCUAAUAAAAAUGCAAAAAUUAGCUGGGCAUGAUGGUGUCUGCCUCCCGGGUUUAAGCAAUUCUCCUACCUCAACCUCCUGAGCAGCUGGGAUUACAGGCGCCUGCCACCACACCCUGCUAAUUUUUGUAUUUUUAGUAGAGACAGGGUUUCAGGGUAAUCCUGAAUCCCAGCUACUCAGGAGGCUAAGGCAGAAUCACUUGAACACAGGAGCAGAGGUCGCGCCCCUGCACUCCCGCCUGGGUGACAGAGCAAGACUCAGUCUCAAAGAAAAGAAAAGAAAAAUCUUAGGCUUGGAGAUUCACAUAAAUUCUAUUUAAAAAGCAAGAUGGGCUGGGCAAGGUGGCUCACACCUGUAAUUCCAAUGAUUUGGGAGGCUGAGGCGGGAGGAUUGCUUGAGCCCAAAAGGUCCAGGCUGCAGUGAACUGUGAUCAUGCCACCACGCUCCCACCUGGGCAACGGAGUGAGACUCAGAAAAAAACAAAACAAAACAAAAAAAA
Molecule: long non-coding RNA, 1514 nt
Filed under: Macaca fascicularis (crab-eating macaque)
Lineage: Eukaryota; Metazoa; Chordata; Mammalia; Primates; Cercopithecidae
Description: lncRNA (ENSMFAG00000061231.1)
Source: RNAcentral